UUUUAAACAAGUUAGUUUCCCAAGAUCUAGUAAUUGGUCUUCCAAAUAUCAAAUUUGAAAUAGAUUCUAUUUGCGAUUCAUGCCAAAAAGGGAAACAAACAAAAGCUUCAUUUAAAUCCAAAAAUAUUGUUUCAACAACUAAACCUUUACAACUUCUUCACAUGGAUCUUUUCGGACCAUCCCGAAUUGAAAGUUUUGGUGGAAAUUUAUAUGCUCUUGUAAUUGUUGAUGACUACUCUCGAUUCACAUGGACUUUAUUUCUAGCUCAUAAAAGUGAUGCUUUUCAAGCUUUCAAAAGCUUUCUCAAACGUGUUCAAAAUGAAAAGAACACAACCGUCACUUCCAUAAGAAGUGAUCAUGGAGGAGAGUUCGAUCACAAUCUCUUUUCGGAUUUUUGUGACGAACUCGGUAUUGAACAUACCUUUUCAGCUCCACGUACACCACAACAAAAUGGAGUGGAGGAACGGAAAAAUAGGUGUCUCGAAGAGAUGGCUAGAACCAUGCUCGAUGAGGCUAAGAUUCCCAAACAAUGAAAAAUCGUUGCCUCGAAGAGAUGGCUAGAACCAUGCUCGAUGAGUCAAAGCUUUCCAAGAAAUUUUGGGUGGAUGCCGUGAGUACCGCUUGCUAUGUUCUAAACAGAGCAGUCAUUCGACCGAUACUCAU
This 663-nucleotide long non-coding RNA is filed under the name Nicotiana benthamiana. RNAcentral's name for it is "long non-coding RNA (NBEN_LNC034684)". The record is from RNAcentral. Lineage: Eukaryota; Viridiplantae; Streptophyta; Magnoliopsida; Solanales; Solanaceae.